Molecule: ribosomal RNA, 253 nt
Filed under: uncultured bacterium
Lineage: Bacteria
Description: partial 16S ribosomal RNA
Rfam family: Bacterial small subunit ribosomal RNA
Source: RNAcentral
GACGUAGGGCGCGAGCGUUGUCCGGAUUUAUUGGGCGUAAAGCGCACGUAGGCGGGUUCUUAAGUCAGGGGUGAAAUCCUGGAGCUCAACUCCAGAACUGCCUUUGAUACUGGGAAUCUCGAGUCCGGGAGAGGUGAGUGGAACUGCGAGUGUAGAGGUGAAAUUCGUAGAUAUUCGCAAGAACACCAGUGGCGAAGGCGGCUCACUGGCCCGGUACUGACGCUGAGGCACGAAAGCGUGGGGAGCAAACAGG